This 603-nucleotide ribosomal RNA is filed under the name Triticum aestivum (bread wheat). RNAcentral's name for it is "partial small subunit ribosomal RNA". Lineage: Eukaryota; Viridiplantae; Streptophyta; Magnoliopsida; Poales; Poaceae. The record is from RNAcentral.
AUGGCGGAGGCGGCGCUGGAGGGGAGCGAGCCAGUGGAUCUCACCAAGCACCCCUCCGGCAUCAUCCCCACGCUCCAGAAUAUCGUGUCGACGGUCAACCUGGACUGUAAAUUGGACCUGAAAGCAAUAGCUCUCCAGGCACGCAAUGCAGAGUAUAACCCCAAGCGUUUUGCUGCAGUUAUCAUGCGGAUAAGAGAACCAAAAACUACUGCAUUGAUAUUUGCUUCAGGAAAAAUGGUUUGCACUGGAGCAAAAAGUGAACAGCAAUCUAAACUCGCAGCUAGAAAGUAUGCUCGUAUAAUCCAGAAGCUUGGCUUUCCUGCAAAAUUCAAGGACUUCAAGAUCCAGAAUAUCGUUGCCUCUUGUGAUGUCAAAUUCCCUAUCAGGCUUGAGGGCCUCGCAUAUUCCCAUGGCGCUUUCUCAAGUUAUGAGCCAGAGCUAUUUCCUGGUCUGAUUUACCGGAUGAGGCAGCCGAAGAUUGUUCUCCUAAUUUUUGUUUCUGGCAAGAUUGUUCUGACUGGAGCAAAGGUGAGAGAAGAGACAUACACUGCCUUCGAGAACAUAUAUCCUGUCCUGACAGAGUUCAGAAAAGUGCAGCAAUGA